This 495-nucleotide ribosomal RNA is filed under the name uncultured Pseudomonadota bacterium. RNAcentral's name for it is "bacterial SSU rRNA". It matches the Rfam family "Bacterial small subunit ribosomal RNA", at positions 30 to 510 of the family's 1533-position model. The record is from RNAcentral. Lineage: Bacteria; Pseudomonadati; Pseudomonadota.
AUUGAACGCUGGCGGUAUGCUUAACACAUGCAAGUCGAACGGUAACAUAAGAGAGCUUGCUCCUCUGAUGGCGAGUGGCGGACGGGUGAGUAACAUAUAGGAAUCUACCUUAUAGACUGGGAUAACUACUCGAAAGAGUGGCUAAUACCGGAUGUGGAUUGAGGUUUAAAGCAGGGGACCUUCGGGCCUUGCGCUAUAAGAUGAGCCUAUACAAGAUUAGCUAGUUGGUGGGGUAAAGGCCUACCAAGGCGACGAUCUUUAGCUGGUUUGAGAGGAUGAUCAGCCACACUGGGACUGAGACACGGCCCAGACUCCUACGGGAGGCAGCAGUGGGGAAUAUUGGACAAUGGGGGGCAACCCUGAUCCAGCAAUACCGCGUGUGUGAAGAAGGCCCUAGGGUUGUAAAGCACUUUUGUUAGGGAGAAUGGCACUUAUAGCUAAUAACUAUAGGCGCUGAUGUUACCUAAAGAAUAAGCACCGGCUAACUCCGUGCCA